GACGAACGCUGGCGGCGUGUUUAACACAUGCAAGUCGAGCGAUGAAGCUCCUUCGGGAGCGGAUUAGCGGCGGACGGGUGAGUAACACGUGGGUAACCUGCCUCAUAGAGGGGAAUAGCCUUUCGAAAGGAAGAUUAAUACCGCAUAAGAUUGUAGUGCCGCAUGGCAUAGCAAUUAAAGGAGUAAUCCGCUAUGAGAUGGACCCGCGUCGCAUUAGCUAGUUGGUGAGGUAACGGCUCACCAAGGCGACGAUGCGUAGCCGACCUGAGAGGGUGAUCGGCCACAUUGGGACUGAGACACGGCCCAGACUCCUACGGGAGGCAGCAGUGGGGAAUAUUGCACAAUGGGGGAAACCCUGAUGCAGCAACGCCGCGUGAGUGAUGACGGUCUUCGGAUUGUAAAGCUCUGUCUUCAGGGACGAUAAUGACGGUACCUGAGGAGGAAGCCACGGCUAACUACGUGCCAGCAGCCGCCGUAA
Molecule: ribosomal RNA, 478 nt
Filed under: uncultured bacterium
Lineage: Bacteria
Description: partial 16S ribosomal RNA
Rfam family: Bacterial small subunit ribosomal RNA
Source: RNAcentral